Molecule: ribosomal RNA, 34 nt
Filed under: Metschnikowia pulcherrima
Lineage: Eukaryota; Fungi; Ascomycota; Pichiomycetes; Serinales; Metschnikowiaceae
Description: partial 28S ribosomal RNA
Source: RNAcentral
UACCCGCUGAACUUGCAUAUCAAUAAGCGGAGGA